Molecule: transfer RNA, 72 nt
Filed under: Ictidomys tridecemlineatus (thirteen-lined ground squirrel)
Lineage: Eukaryota; Metazoa; Chordata; Mammalia; Rodentia; Sciuridae
Description: Spermophilus tridecemlineatus (thirteen-lined ground squirrel) tRNA
Rfam family: tRNA
About the family: Transfer RNA (tRNA) molecules are approximately 80 nucleotides in length. Their secondary structure includes four short double-helical elements and three loops (D, anti-codon, and T loops).
Source: Rfam by way of RNAcentral
GGAGGUAUAGCUCAGUGGUACAGCCCUUGCCUGAUACACAUAUGACUCUGGGUUUGAUCCCCAGCAGCCCCC